RNAcentral lists this ribosomal RNA (460 nucleotides) under uncultured bacterium. RNAcentral describes it as "SSU rRNA". It matches the Rfam family "Bacterial small subunit ribosomal RNA", at positions 26 to 518 of the family's 1533-position model. The record is from RNAcentral.
AGAAUCAACGCUGGCGGCGUGCCUAACACAUGCAAGUCGAACGAGAAAGGGGUAGCAAUACCCUGAGUAAAGUGGCGCACGGGUGAGUAACACGUGACUAACCUACCCUUGAGUGGGGGAUAACUGAGGGAAAUCUUAGCUAAUACCGCAUAAUACCCACGGGUCAAAGGAGCAAUUCGCUCGAGGAGGGGUCGCGGCCGAUUAGUUAGUUGGCGGGGUAAUGGCCCACCAAGACGAUGAUCGGUAUCCGGCCUGAGAGGGCGCACGGACACACUGGAACUGAAACACGGUCCAGACUUCUACGGGAGGUAGCAGUGGGGAAUUUUGCGCAAUGGGGGAAACCCUGACGCAGCAACGCCGCGUGGAGGAUGAAGUCCUUCGGGACGUAACUCCUUUCGAUCGGGACGAUUAUGACGGUACCGGAAGAAGAAGCCCCGGCUAACUUCGCGCCAGCAGCCGC